RNAcentral lists this transfer RNA (69 nucleotides) under Dipodomys ordii (Ord's kangaroo rat). It matches the Rfam family "tRNA". Rfam says of the family: Transfer RNA (tRNA) molecules are approximately 80 nucleotides in length. Their secondary structure includes four short double-helical elements and three loops (D, anti-codon, and T loops). The record is from Rfam by way of RNAcentral. Lineage: Eukaryota; Metazoa; Chordata; Mammalia; Rodentia; Heteromyidae.
GGAUGAAUGGCUUAGUGGAAGAGUACCUGUCUAGUAUGCAUGAAAUCUUGAGUUCAAACCUCAAUACCA